GCCUACGGGGGGCAGCAGUAGGGAAUCUUCCACAAUGGGCGAAAGCCUGAUGGAGCGACGCCGCGUGGGUGAAGAAGGUCUUCGGAUCGUAAAACCCUGUUGUUAGAGAAGAAAGUGCGUGAGAGUAACUGUUCACGUUUCGACGGUAUCUAACCAGAAAGCCACGGCUAACUACGUGCCAGCAGCCGCGGUAAUACGUAGGUGGCAAGCGUUAUCCGGAUUUAUUGGGCGUAAAGGGAACGCAGGCGGUCUUUUAAGUCUGAUGUGAAAGCCUUCGGCUUAACCGGAGUAGUGCAUUGGAAACU
This 305-nucleotide ribosomal RNA is filed under the name uncultured bacterium. RNAcentral describes it as "bacterial SSU rRNA". It matches the Rfam family "Bacterial small subunit ribosomal RNA", at positions 337 to 634 of the family's 1533-position model. The record is from RNAcentral.